GGGAGGGUAUUACACCACGUACUUUUAUACGUUAAAUUUCCUCAUGAGUUGGUUGCUAUAGAUUCAGAGAGCGGAGUAACCUUCGAGGUCAUAUGAGAUUAGGCAUGUCUAUCUUGAGUGUAUAAGAGUUUAAGAUCAUGUUUAAUAGGUAUUGGAAGGUUCCUGGAUCAAGCGAAUCGAAGAAUUAAGUUUGUCGAAACUUUGGAAAAAUUUGGCAGAAUUCUGGACAGGAUUUUUUUUGGUCCAAAUUUGGGGAGGUAUAUCUUCUAGCAUAUGAGGAGUUAUGGAAUGCAUAACCUAUGUAAAUUCAAGUUCAAAGAGUUUUCUUUCCAAUGCAACUGACAGAUCACAAAUCCGAGAAGUACAGUGCAAAAUAUGGCCCGUACUAAAAAAUAUGAUUUUAAGUACGGACCGUAUAUCCCUUGGCAGAAAGGCAAAUUUUUAUAUUGAGAAUUACGGACCAUAUUUGAAAUUACGGUCCAUACUUUUGACCGUAUUUUUAAGUCGGUAGUAGUUUUUGUUUUUACAUAUUUUGUGUAUCCCUUCAUUUUAACUCAUUUCUCCACUUCCCCUGAUCUCCAACAUUCUAGAAAACUCUCUCCAACACUAUCUAAUCAACCCCUAAGUAAAAUCAAGGAUCAAAAGAGAAGAUUAAGUGUCUAAAGGUGCUAAAGUGAUUAGGGAAGCUUGUUUCUACUCUUGGUAAUGGUUUGGGAGGAUACUUCAAGGUGAAACACUCUUAGUAUUGAUGUGUUCUUGAGUUUUGAGGUAAGAUGCUAUCCUAACUCCAUGUUUAUGAGUUUAUAUGAUGAUUAUGCUAGGUUUGGAGGGAAAGGAGUUGGAGGAAAGGUUCAAAUAUGAAUUUGAGGUUAUGUUGAGUUGUAAUUUAACUUGAGUCAUGUUAUAAAUAUGUUUUUGAGCUAAAACCUUGUUGUAAGGAUAGUAGUUGGUGUUAUGAUUGUAUUGAGGAUGUUAUACUUGGUAUAAUUGGAAGAAGAAGGGGGUAUAAGUGUUGUAUGAUAUAAAUCUUGGAGUGAGUAGUGAUAUGGAAUUAAAGAGACUUAUAUGAGGUUAUUGUUAUAUUGUUGACUAUUAGGUGUGUAUAGUGACUAAGGAGAGACAGUUAUGGUAUAGUUAGACGUUGUAUGGCCCCCUCAGCCUAUAUUUUUUAUGCAUAAUACUUCAUGAUGGCCUUUCGGCUUGCACAGUUUUUGUCCAGCAUAGUUAUAUAGUAUGUCUUUUCGGGCUCAUCCCCUUUUCAGCAUAUCUCUCUUAUGAUUUAGCAGAUUUUCAUUUAAUGACCCUUGAGGUCCACUCUUGUUUAUGAUUAUGAUAUGAAAGCAUGUUUAGCUGUGCUCGGCAGGUAGGGACCAGGCGCCCGUCAUGACCCUCCAAUUUGGAUCGCGACAGGGGGAUUGUGUACAUGAUCAAUUGGCGGAUAAGGGCAAAAGUAGCUGGAGGAGGGAAACAAUAGCAAGGAGGAUGACUCCCCUGAUAACAAUAAGAGUAAGGAGGAGGGUGAUCAUGCGAGGGUAAAAGUAGUGGGGAGGAGGGAAAAAAUAGCAAGGAGGGUGACUUAUCCAAUCCCCCUGAUAACAAUGAGAGUAAGAAAGAGGGUGAUCAGCGGUAGAUGAGGGUAAAAGUAAUGGGGUGGUGAUAGACUGGUCUUCUGUCCCUGAUAUUGAAUUCUCCAAAUUAAUCCAACCCGAUAGUGAUAUAAAUGAUAAGACUAUGGAGGAGGUUGAUAAUUUUGUGAAGGGUUUUGUGGAUGGUAAAAGUAGCCAGUAACAGAGUGAUGACUGGUCUGGUUUCUCUAAAAUCAUCCGAAGUUUAACUGAAAGACUACAUGCUUUAGGAGUUAGUAAAAACAGGAUCAUAUGGCUGCGGAUGAGGAUGAGGAGAUAGACUAGUCUGCUAUCCCCAAUGAUGAGUUCUCCAAAUUCACCCAACCAUGUAGUGAUAAAAGUGUUGUUGCAGGAGUGGAUAAAAAUGUGGUGGAUACAAAGGUGGAGAAAAAUGUGGGGGAGAAUUUUGUAGGACGGGAAAAAGGUGUUGUUAUUUUGGAUGACACACCUGUAGUGCCUCGUAGACCACGAAAUUAGCAAAGUCAUGUGAAUCGCCAUACUUGACCAGUUUUGAUUCUAGUGGUAGUAAUGCUCAAGCUCCUGUAGUGCCUCCAACUAAGUGUAUCUUCUCUACAAAGCGUCCCUCUCAAACAAGUAUUGAGAUUCCUAUUGAUUUGAACGUGUUAAAAGAAUUCAACAAUUUCGUCAACAGAUCGAUACGAGUGAAAGAGAAGCCUAUUUAUGCAGAACAUACUAAUAAGCUUAAAUAUACUUUUGACUUUGGAGUUGACAUGAUUGGAGAAAAAGAAUGGUUUUCCACUCUUGCAUAUGCAGGGCAACUCCUAAGUGCUUCACAUAUUGAUGUGCUUUUUUACUAUUUGAGGAAGAAAAAGAAAUAUGGAUAUGGUGAUGGUGAUGGUUCAGUGAAAUUCACAACCACCGAUUGUGUUCAACUGCUUAAUUCAGAGUAUGUAUAAACACUUUUUAGAGAAAAAUAAAGAUGUCGCCCCUAUUACUCAAGAAGAUCCAAUUGCUGAGUAUAUGUUGGGUAUUUUAUGAAGUGCAAUGUCCCCUGUUGUACUGUUAAUGAGAUUCUUUUUCCUAUAAAUGUUUAUGAGAAGUGGCAUUGGAUAUUGGGAAGGUUGGUUUUUAAAGAUCAAUGUUUUUACAUAUAUGAUUCGCUGGGCGGUGCACGACAAAAUAAUGACCGUGCGUGCACCAGGAUUGCUGAUGUAUAGUGGCCGUGCGUGCACCAGGAUUAACACUGCAUACCAGAAAGAGAAGCACACACCUAGUUCUAGUGCAACUGCUAUUAUAUUUUGAAUCGAGGGUGAGUGGAUGGGAGUUGAGAAUUUGAGCUGAAAAGAACCGAACGCUAUUCCUUUUUUGAUAAACACACACAAGAUGUGUAUAUAAGUUGUAUAUAUUUUGUAUAGAUAUACACACUUUUGAAUAUAUAUAUUGUAUAUUUUGAGCCUGUAUACUACCUGAUUUU
Lycium barbarum (goji berry) is the source of this 3060-nucleotide long non-coding RNA. RefSeq lists it as uncharacterized. The record is from RefSeq and is a predicted model, not a curated record. The transcript has 3 exons. NCBI's taxonomy places the organism in Eukaryota, Viridiplantae, Streptophyta, Magnoliopsida, Solanales, Solanaceae.